Molecule: unclassified non-coding RNA, 1179 nt
Filed under: Hevea brasiliensis (rubber tree)
Lineage: Eukaryota; Viridiplantae; Streptophyta; Magnoliopsida; Malpighiales; Euphorbiaceae
Source: RNAcentral
AAAACUAUGAGUGCAUUGCAUUUGUAAGUGAGAAAUUGCCCAUACUCAAUAGGAUUUCUACUACCUGGCUAAUUUUUGGCUUGCUGUUUUCUUACUAAUUAGGAAUGUUGUACUUGUCAUCUGGAUUUGUGUUCCUUAAAGUUCCCUUUGCUAGUUGACUUGAUAUUUAUGAGUAAUGCCACCUGACGUGUUGAAAGUUUUUGGUGCUAUGAGAAAAUGAGGAAAUCAAAAAGUAAACUAAAACAAACGCACACUAAGAAGUAAAAGUGUCUCAAGCACAACUUUUUAAAGUAGUGAAGUAAAUAAACUGUAAUGCCUGUGAAUGUGACAACUGGACCCACUUUUGAGUUACUUAUGUUGAUAGGUUUCACUAAGUAGGUCUAUAGAUGGACAUUGUGAUUCAUGGGAAGUCCUGUAAUUUGGUGUUAGCAUAUAAUGGAUCACUGCUAUUGUGGUUGAGUAUAUGUGGCAGAGGGACAAUUAGAUAAGCUUUUAGUGAUCUUAUCGGAGAAUCUUUCCAAGCUGUUCUAAAGUAGUUUCAUAUGCUAAAGUAGUUAUCCAAAAUAGUACAGCUAAUAUUUAUCCAACUAGUUUGGACUGAUAGACUUCAAUCUGUCAAAUUCUUUGUACUUCAUAGUGAUUUUCCUUUUUGGAAUGCGACUGAAUAUCAGACUAGAUCUUUGAGAUUGGUUGUACUACUUAUGAUCUUAAUUGAUGGGACCUUGUCAUGGGAUGCGCGUGAAGAUCAAAGAAAAUCUUCCUCUUUGCUUUCUCAUGCGCUAUUUUAAAUGAGAGAAAUAGAAGGGUUUGCAACAAAGUACGCUAUCGAAUUAGAUAAUGGAAGAUGAGUAGUACCAAAAUGUUGGUAGUUCUCUUGCUAUUCCUGUACAUUCCUUGUUCAUUUUUUCCUCUCUAAACUUGUGUGGGUAGAUAAGGGUGUUCGCUUAGAGUGAAUUUUCCAUUAGAUUGUAAUGCCAUGUUGCCGUUUCCAUUCUUAGCCCCUUUCUUCUUACUUCUUUAUUUCAAUUUUAAAUUUUGUGGAUAUGAUCUAAUUGAAUUCCUUGUUUUACCUGCAGAAAACACUGCGUACAGAGCUACAAUGUUUUCGAUUUUUUAAGGGAAAUUGUCAGCAGGGUUCCUGACUAUGGUCAUGGUCAUUCUGAUAACACUGCAGAUCAC